Molecule: small nucleolar RNA, 71 nt
Organism: Manis pentadactyla (Chinese pangolin)
Lineage: Eukaryota; Metazoa; Chordata; Mammalia; Pholidota; Manidae
Product: small nucleolar RNA SNORD113/SNORD114 family
Exons: 1
Source: RefSeq, a predicted model, not a curated record
UGGAUCAAUGAUGACAAUGUAGCAUAAGGCAAAGAUUAUGAAUAAUCCAGUUCUGCAUGGCUGAGGUCCAU